Molecule: ribosomal RNA, 324 nt
Filed under: uncultured eukaryote
Lineage: Eukaryota
Description: partial 18S ribosomal RNA
Rfam family: Eukaryotic small subunit ribosomal RNA
Source: RNAcentral
CCCUUAGAUGUUCUGGGCUGCACGAGCGCUACACUGAAGCUAUCAACACGUUUUCCCUCCCUGAGAAGGGCGGGUAACCUUUUGAAUCAGCUUCGUGGUAGGGAUCGGGGCUUGCAAUUGUUCCCCGUGAACCAGGAAUUCCUAGUAGACGCGAGUCAUAAGCUCGCAUCGAUUAAGUCCCUGCCCUUUGUACACACCGCCCGUCGCUACUACCGAUUGAACGUUUUAGUGAGGCAUUUGGACCGACGCAUCUCAGUUUAACCGCUGGUUUGUGUUGGAAAGACUUCCAAACUUGAGCGUUUAGAGGAAGUAAAAGUCGUAACA